RNAcentral lists this long non-coding RNA (1385 nucleotides) under Homo sapiens (human). RNAcentral describes it as "HSALNT0050135". The record is from RNAcentral. Lineage: Eukaryota; Metazoa; Chordata; Mammalia; Primates; Hominidae.
GCAGGUGGCAGAACCAGGGUCUUAGGGUCUUGUUUUACUUGAGAAAUGUAAGAUAUGGACGUUCUUGCACCAAAUGCUGUCAUCCCAAGGGCUAUGAGUAGGCCUGAAAUUCCAACAGGGAACAGACACCUGAAGAGAAGGUUAUGCACAAAGUAAGAGUGAACGAAUGUCAGAGGUGAACUUCAUCUACUACACCAUGGCUCCACUGGAGGGUUGUAAUUUUCUCUCACAGCAGGGUAUUAGAAGGAGAUUGGAAAAUAGCAGCUGGACUCCUAUUUGUCACUAGGAAAGGGGAAGCAUUCCCUUUGAUUUAACUCCGUUUCCCAAUCCAAUAUUUUUUUAAGCCCAGAAAGACCCUUAUUGCCUCUCUCUCCAGGUGGAGUGGGGGCAUAGAUAUUCUUCUUCAAAAUCAGACAGGAUUUGCUAAAUAAAUAAUAUUCCUUUAAAUAAACCUUGAAAGAUAUACGUCAGCUGUGUACGUUUCCACAGGUCUGGUGACAGUGCAGUGAAUGUAUCACCCGAGUGACGUGGGUCUUGUGAUCUACAGAUGUAAUACUUCAUCUGGACCCGUGUGACAUACUAUCAGGUCUCGUCUUUGAGGGCUCGCUCCAGGUUGCCCAGGUUUAUUGGUCUUCCUUUGUGUUCCCAUACUACUUUAUUCUCCUUAAUGCUUCCUCUUGGACAUGAAUUUCAGACACCAACUUGAAGUUGUUGCCUUGUUUGGCUGUUUUCCUUCUAGAUCCUGAGGUGUGUGGAGGCAAGACCAUAGCUUAAUCGUUGCUUGUUCUCUAUAUUUUGUCUAAGAUUCUGGCAUGGAACACACACUUCAUAAGUAUUUGGUGAAUGAAUGAAUAAAUGAUUUAAUGUAUCAAUUAACAUACACGUGAAGGGUGACAACAUUAAGAUGUCUGAAAAAGACACAAGCAAAAUUUUCUAAAACAUAUUUUUUACUGUUUAUGAUUUAUAAAUUAUGUUUUCCAUAUAGAUUUUUAGGCAUUUAUAAGUAUCUUUUUUUGAUACUUUUGGUUCAAACUGUAUUUUUCAUAUAAAUGAUUGCUUCUAAAAAUACUUUCUAUAGUUAUGUAAAGUCUAAUUUCAAAACUGAAUUCAUAUUGAAAGCUUGUAUACACCAAACCCAUAAUUUUAUUGAAAUAUUCCAAAAAAUGUGCCUUCACCAUAGGUCUUAAAUAACAUUUUAAAAAUGUCAAUAUUUAUCUUUUAAAAAUAGAAAUCAUGUUUGUGAUUUUUUGUUGCUAUUGUUUUUAGGAAUUAACCUGCUCUUCUACCCUACGUGUAAAACAAUUUUAAUUUGUGUAACCUUUUUUUUGUAAUAAUGCGGACGUAUGGUCAUUCAUGUGAUAAAUCAUAUCUGAUUUCUGAAAUAU